GACGAACGCUGGCGGCGUGCUUAACACAUGCAAGUCGAACGGAAAGGCCCUGCUUUUGUGGGGUGCUCGAGUGGCGAACGGGUGAGUAACACGUGAGUAACCUGCCCUGGACUUUGGGAUAACUUCAGGAAACUGGGGCUAAUACCGGAUAGGAGCUCCUGCUGCAUGGUGGGGGUUGGAGAGUUUCGGCGGUUGGGGAUGGACGCGCGGCUUAUCAGCUUGUUGGGGGGGUAGUGGCUUACCAAGGCUGUGACGGGUAGCCGGCCUGAGAGGGUGACCGGCCACAUGGGGCCUGAGAUACGGCCCAGACUCCUACGGGAGGAAGCGGUGGGGAAUAUUGCACAAUGGGCGGAAGCCUGAUGCAGCAACGCCGCGUGCGGGAUGACGGCCUUCGGGUUGUAACCCGCUUUCGCCUGUGACGAAGCGUGAGUGACGGUAAUGGGUAAAGAAGCACCGGCUAACUACGU
Molecule: ribosomal RNA, 467 nt
Filed under: uncultured bacterium
Lineage: Bacteria
Description: partial 16S ribosomal RNA
Rfam family: Bacterial small subunit ribosomal RNA
Source: RNAcentral